This 412-nucleotide long non-coding RNA is filed under the name Pan troglodytes (chimpanzee). RNAcentral describes it as "long non-coding RNA NONPTRT005389". The record is from RNAcentral. Lineage: Eukaryota; Metazoa; Chordata; Mammalia; Primates; Hominidae.
AAGUUCCCAUAACAUGAGGCUUAUCCACCUAGUUUCUUGCCAAGUCAUAUUCAAGGGGCCAGAAGGACCAGGAGAGAAGUGAUGCUUUCAAAGGCCAAGCCAGGCCAGAAGAGGUUACCCAGCAGGCUUGACAGCUUGCUGAGAGAGAUCUAGAAAAUAGAUCUAUUUAGAGGGAGAGAUCAAGGAAAGCAACCAAGAAAUGCACAGAGAAAUGAGACCAAGUGAAGCUCAGCUUCAAGGGAUUGGGUCACAAGUAAGAAGCUGGUAAGACCAGAACAGGAGGUAUUCAAGGCAAAGUCACUUAGGCAAUUAGUUCAAAACUGAGAUUCAAACAAUGGCAGGGUUUGAGAGGCCUAUUCCAAUCUUGUGCCCACUUUGCAGCUUCCAUAUGCAUGUAACAUUUCAAAGAAUA